RNAcentral lists this ribosomal RNA (1035 nucleotides) under Triticum aestivum (bread wheat). RNAcentral describes it as "partial small subunit ribosomal RNA". Lineage: Eukaryota; Viridiplantae; Streptophyta; Magnoliopsida; Poales; Poaceae. The record is from RNAcentral.
AUGGAAGACUGGAUCUCGGAUGUUGAGGAAGUGAAACUACUCGAGGAUGUCAAGAAGAAGAUGGAAGAUGGUGUGGUGGAGGCACCAGAUUGGCUACCAGAUGGUUGGAUCAUGGAGGUUAGACGUGGUGACGAUGGUGCCCUCUAUCAGUAUUUCAUUUCUCCAGUGUCAGGGGCAAAAUUCACGAUGAAGUCCAAGGUCCUGGACUACCUUUUCUCUGAGAUGGAUGAGCACUACAUAGAAGCCAAUUAUUCUGUUGCUGAUAGCAUGCUUUCUAAGUCACAUGAAUGGCUUCCAAAGGGGUGGUUGGUCGAGAUCAGAGCUGGCGGCGAGAAUAUGGACAAGAUGUACAAGUUUUAUGUUUCUGCGGCAAUGGGAGUACGAUUGUUUUCUAAAGAAGAUGUACUACUCUAUGUUAAGGAAGGGAAGAUCUCCAGUUGUGAUAUUAAUGGACAAUGCGACACAAACUCUCGAGAUAAUAUCCUUGCAGAAGUGGAGUUCAACCCAUCUGAGCUGCCACAUGGCUGGGUGAAGGAAUUGGAAUACAGAAAAACAUUGGAACGAACAAGGAAAGACCAGUACUACACGGACCCUAUUAGCCAUUGUGCAUUCAGGACAUUGAAGUCUGCACUUCACUACGUUCAAACGGGAAAACUUACAAAACGAUCAUUUGUUCAAAGGACAAGUGUAGAUGAAUUGUACAAUUUUGAGAAGUCUGUUGAUCUGCAUGAGAGUUUCCGCAAAAGGCUUAUGAAAAAUGUGAUGACUAAUACAUCUCAAGCAAGUCCGUCGAUACCUAGAAGAUUAAAAAUUGGGAAAAAUAUAAAUCUCAAUGAGCGAAAUUUUAGUGUUUAUGGGGACAACAACACCUCUACAAACUUAGAUUCACCAGAUGAGAACCAAAAAAUCAAGAAGAAAAGCAUGAAGGCUAAUGGGAAAGAAGCAUACUCCUCCAAAACUAUAAGGCGUCCAACAGGGAGGCCAUCUGAAGUAGCGACGCAAACUGAUGGAGACAUAUAUGUGGAAUAAGAAUAG